GCCUGGGUGGCUCAGUGGGUUGAGUGUCUGACUUCGGCUCAGGGCAUGAUCUCGCAGUCUGUGAGUUCGAGCCCCACAUCGGGCU
This 85-nucleotide transfer RNA is filed under the name Felis catus (domestic cat). It matches the Rfam family "tRNA". From Rfam's summary of the family: Transfer RNA (tRNA) molecules are approximately 80 nucleotides in length. Their secondary structure includes four short double-helical elements and three loops (D, anti-codon, and T loops). Lineage: Eukaryota; Metazoa; Chordata; Mammalia; Carnivora; Felidae. The record is from Rfam by way of RNAcentral.